AGGAGAAAUGAGGUGAGGAGGACAGAGAGAGAGAGAGAGCACAUGAAGAGGGAUGAGAGGAUGUGGAGGAGAGAGAGUCAAGAUGACACGAGAUAAUAAGAGAGGAGGAGAUGAGAGGAGAGAGAGGGAGGAGGAAGAAGAGGAGGAGGAGGAGGAGGGUAAGUUUCCUCCUCAGGGGAGACGUCGACCUGUCAGAGUAAAUGUCUCCUCUGCAGGGAGAUAAAAUCAUAUUUAAAGAUCAGACGCCUUAAAUCCUGACCAGCUCUGUUUGAAGAACCUUGAAGGAGACAAAGAGGAGGAGGAGGAGAAAGAGAGGGAUGAAGAGGAGGAGGAGGAGGAGGAGGGAGGGAGGGGUGUAUAUUAGCUCUUUAAUCAGCAGAUUUCCCUCCACAGUCAGGGCUUUGUGUCGGAGUUGAACCUGCUGAUAUCAGAGCUGUGAUUGUCUGAUACAGAAACGGGCCUUUACUUUGUUCUCAAACUACAGAAAACUACAGAAAACUACAGCAAACUACAGAUAACUACAGGAAACUACAGAAACUACAACUACAGGAAACUACAGAUAACUACAGAAAACUACAGCAAACUACAGAUGACUACAGAUAACUACAGCAAACUACAGCAAACUACUGUAAGAGUCUGAUACAGGAAUGGGCCUUUACUUUGUUCUCAGACUACAGCAAACUACAGCAAACUACAGGUAACUACAGAAAACUACAGACAACUACAGAUAACUACUGUGAGAGUCUGAUACAGGAACGGGCCUUCACUUUGUUCUCAAACUACAGGUAACUACAGAUAACUACAGCAAACUACAGGUAACUACAGAUAACUACAGCAAACUACAGGAAACUACAGAAAACUACUGUAAGAGUCUGAUACAGAAACGGGCCUUCACUUUGUUCUCAGACUACAGCAAACUACAGAUAACUACAGAAAACUACAGAUAACUACUGUGAGAGUCUGAUACAGGAACGGGCCUUUACUUUGUUCUCAAACUACAGAUAACUACAUGAAACUACAUGAAACUACAGAUAACUACAGCAAACUACAGCAAACUACUGUAAGAGUCUGAUACAGGAACGGGCCUUUACUUUGUUCUCAGACUACAGCAAACUACAGGUACACACAGGAAACUACAGAUAACUACAGCAAACUACAGAUAACUACAGAAAACUACUGUGAGAGUCUGAUACAGGAACGGGCCUUUACUUUGUUCUCAAACUACAGAAAACUACAGAUAACUACAGAAAACUACAGGUAACUACAGAUAACUACAGAAAACUACAGCAAACUACAGAUAACUACUGUAAGAGUCUGAUACAGGAACGGGCCUUUACUUUGUUCUCAAACUACAGAAAACUACAGAUAACUACAGAAAACUACUGUGAGAGUCUGAUACAGGAACGGGCCUUCACUUUGUUCUCAAACUACAGCAAACUACAGAUAACUACAGAUAACUACAGGAAACUACAGGUACUCACAGGAAACUACAGCAAACUACUGUAAGAGUCUGAUACAGGAACGGGCCUUUACUUUGUUCUCAAACUACAGGUACUCACAGGAAACUACAGAUAACCACAGUAAACUCAAGUAACUUCCAGUUAACUUUAGGAAACUCCAGUAAACUUAAGGGAACUACACUAAACUACACUAAAGUACACUUAACGACACUAAAGUACAGAAAACCACAGCAAACUCCAGGAAACUAAAGCAAAAUCGAGUAAACUACAGCAAACAAACAAAGGUUCAUGUAAAAAGAGAGGAAGAAUUUAAUACGUCAAAAAAACAUUUCUCACUGAAGGACAUCCUCACAGAGUCUCAGUUUCACUGUAAUAGUCUCUCUUCACUCUGGUUUCCUGUUGUCUGUCUGUCUGUCUAGAGUCUCAGUUUCGCCCUGACUCAGAAUCUAAAAACAAACCUUCUCUUCGCUUUGCUUCAAAAACACGAUGCUCAUCAGUAAGGAGUACAUCAGUAAUUUAACAGCUUUCUUAUUCAGAGACAGUGAAAAACCAUUUUGGAGAUCGGUCCAUAUUUAGAGUUCAAAAUGUUGGAAUGAUAAUAAUCUUUAAAGUGUUUUUAAGUGUAAAAAAGUGUUUGAAAAAUUAUAUUUAACUAAAAUAAGAGAAAUGUUUGGAAAACAACGAUUUCAGAUUAAAAAGUUCUGAUUGAGCUUCAUCAGGUCGGGGUCACAGGUCCUGUUAAAGACUGAAAACUACAUGAGACCAUUUUCUUACAGACACUCACUGACGUUAUCCCAGAGACGGAGAAACAGCAGGAUCGAUCUCAAAGAGAGAGGAGAGUCAAAGAUCAGGGAGGAAACAGAAAUAUCAGAGAGUUCAACUCAAGUAAAGUUCUUCAAACAGAAACCAAAGAAAACCAGCUGAUGGUGCCGAAAAACCAAAAUAUAAACAUUAAUCUCCAUAAGUUAGUAAACUGCAGAGGGAAGUAGGGCUGGGCGAUAAAACGUUAAUGAUAUAUAUCCAACAUUAAUUUCCCUCAAUAUCAAUAUCAAACAUGAUCAAUAAGCUUAUCAAUAGUCGUCAUUCUGACAUGUUUUGGUCGACUAUACGAACAGCCAAUGAAAAGGGGAGUUUCUCCGGGUCUGAACCAAUCAUGUUCUGAAUUAGAACCAAGUAUCAACCAACUGCAGCGUCGUAGCAGACAGCAGCUCCACCCAACCAUAGCACUUUAACAGGUGAAGCCGACAGCACUGUUGGUGAGAAACAAAGAAAAUGAGUGCUACCCCCGACAGAAAUGACCAUGAAGGCUCAACAGAUGACCACAUCAAUGUCAACCACAACACUGGCGUUAGGAAAACGUCGGUGGUGUGGAGGUAUUUUGGUUUUUGGAGGUCGGACAUGAAGCAGAGUAAUGUGGACUGUAAAUUAUGUCGAGUUCAUGUUAAAUGUUAAAAGUGAUUUUUGAUAUUGUGAUCUGUAUCGAUAUCGACUGAUAUGGAAAAAAAAUAUCGUGAUAAACUUUUUCCCAUAUCGCUCAGCCCUAAGCACAGCUAAGGUGGUGAUCCAACCUCUCCUGAGUGAACGUUUCAUAAGGUCACAGAUUUGAGGGGGAACCACAAAAGUUCCUGUCGAUCAUCUCAGUAAUUUUGACCCGUGACCAUCUGAUCCGGUUCAUGAGUUAGACUUCUUAUCCUGGAGCUGGACUCACCCUGAAAAUGUAGAGGGUACACUAACCGGUAACCACGGUGACCACAGCUAACAAAACUGGAGUCCUGAACCCCGGUCUCUGACGGUUUGUGAUGUUUCUACAGUAAAUUCAUACAGACCCAAACUGAUCGGUUCUGAUCCGGUUUCUCUGGACUUGAUUCAAACAAGAGAGCUGAGCGGAUAAACCUAAGAGAGAGAGACCGAAAACUUUACCAACGUGUGCUUUUUGUCCGGGUUUAACGUGACUGCAGGAUGAGUUAACACACACACGCACACACACCUGCUGGAAACCUGCUCCCAUUGGCCGGGCUUGGCGGUGGGUGUGGUAUCGAUCAGAAACACCAGCAGCGAUUAUACGACUUCACACUGAGCCUGCAGCUCAUCACUAUUCACUGAGGACAACACACACACACACACACACACACACACACACACACACACAUCAGUGACUCUUUGAUUAAUGCUAAUUUGUGUGUGGACGUGUAGCGCCUUAAUCCUCCUCUCUAAUUGGUCUUUCAUUAUGAGUGUGGGGGUGGGGGCUGGGUUCAGGGGGGCGUGUCUGUGGCCCUCCGUUAAGGUGGUGUCACCUUAUUUUGUGGCUCAGCGUGGAUGGAUGAGGCCGUGGCGUGCUCACAGACACAAACACACUAAACUUUCCUCUAAAAAACUGAACGAAGAGUCCUAAAACUAAAAGAUUCUAAAGUUUCUAAUCCUGCAGUAAUGUCCCAACUGUCCACCAGGGGGCAGCAGAAAUGAGCUGACAGGACUCAUUAAUAUCCUCUCAUUUUAAAAUAUGAUAGGGUAGAACAGAAAAACUGCAGUUCUUCUCCUGUCCACUAGAGGCUGUCUCCUACGGUGAGCCCGUGUUGUUAGCUGACUGUACUCUAUUCAGGCUGCCAUCUUUGUUUUGGUCUGUCAACCAAUCAGAGGCUGUAUCUGUGAUCAGCUGACGGUGCAGUUACAGGUGAGAGCAGCCCGAAGCAGACCUCACAGUCGGUCCUCAGAAUAGAAAUAAGUGAGACAGAUCUGUAAUGUCCCACGGAGUAUCAGGGCCACAUUUAGAAACAACACAAGACUUCGAGAUUAAAGUCGUUAAUUUAUGAGAAUAAAGUCAUUACUAACUAAAGUCAGAAUAAAGUAGGCUAAUUACUAAUUAUGGCUCUCAUUUCAGUAAUUACCUUAUUACAACUUUAUUCUUAUAAGUAAUAAUUUAAUCACAUUCUUUAUCUUCAUAAUUACUUUAUUACAACUUGAAUUACACGAGUAAUAACUUUAUAUUAACUUUCUUCUUAUAAGUAAUUACUUAAUUACAACCUAAUUCUCAUAAGUAAUUACUUUCGCGACUUUAUUCUUAUAAUUCAUUAUUUUACUACGACUUCAUUCUUAUGAGAAAUUAUUUAAGGCUUUAUUCUUAUAAGAGAUUACUUUAUCAUGACUUUAUUCUCAUAAGUUAUUACUGUAUUAAUAUUUUAUUCUUAUAAAUAAUUACUUUUUUACGACUUUAUUCUCAUUAGUAAUAACCUCAUUCUUAUAAGUUAAUCACUUUAAUCUUUUUUUUUCCUGAUGUGACCCUGAAAGUCCGUCGUAGUCAUGGCUGGAUUCUAGUGUCAGUAGAUCUGUUCUUUCUCUGUGUCAAUGGUGCUUUAUUUACACACGAUUAACGAUUUAAUUAAAGACAUCAUGAUCAUAAUUUUGUUAAAAAGACAUUAAAAACAAGUCAUUUUA
This 4892-nucleotide long non-coding RNA is filed under the name Xyrichtys novacula (pearly razorfish). The record is from RNAcentral. Lineage: Eukaryota; Metazoa; Chordata; Actinopteri; Labriformes; Labridae.